Molecule: ribosomal RNA, 490 nt
Filed under: uncultured bacterium
Lineage: Bacteria
Description: partial 16S ribosomal RNA
Rfam family: Bacterial small subunit ribosomal RNA
Source: RNAcentral
AUUGAACGCUGGCGGCAUGCUUUACACAUGCAAGUCGAACGGCAGCACGAAAGAGCUUGCUCUUUUGGUGGCGAGUGGCGAACGGGUGAGUAAUGCAUCGGAACGUACCGAGUAAUGGGGGAUAACUGUCCGAAAGGAUAGCUAAUACCGCAUACGCUUUGAGAAGGAAAGUGGGGGCUCUUCGGACCUCACGUUAUUCGAGCGGCCGAUGUCUGAUUAGCUAGUUGGUGGGGUAAAGGCCUACCAAGGCGACGAUCAGUAGCGGGUCUGAGAGGAUGAUCCGCCACACUGGGACUGGGACACGGCCCAGACUCCUACGGGAGGCAGCAGUGGGGAAUUUUGGACAAUGGGCGCAAGCCUGAUCCAGCCAUGCCGCGUGUCUGAAGAAGGCCUUCGGGUUGUAAAGGACUUUUGUUAGGGAAGAAAAGGAUAGUGUUAAUACCAUUAUCUGCUGACGGUACCUAAAGAAUAAGCACCGGCUAACUACGUG